ACGGGAGGCAGCAGUGAGGAAUAUUGGUCAAUGGGCGGGAGCCUGAACCAGCCAAGUAGCGUGCAGGAUGACGGCCCUACGGGUUGUAAACUGCUUUUGCGCAGGGAUGAAAAAGCCCACGUGUGGGCUCUUGCAGGUACUGCGUGAAUAAGGACCGGCUAAUUCCGUGCCAGCAGCCGCGGCAAUACGGAAGGUCCGAGCGUUAUCCGGAUUUAUUGGGUUUAAAGGGUGCGCAGGCGGAGAUGCAAGCCAGCCGUAAAAUCGUGGGGCUCAACCCCAUUGAGCGGUUGGAACUUCAUCCCUUGAUUGCGGCAGAGGGAGGUGGAACUCGUGGUGUAGCGGUGAAAUGCAUAGAUAUCACGAAGAACUCCGAUUGCGAAGGCAGCCUCCUGGACCGUAACUGACGGUGAGGCGCGAAAGUGUGGGGAGCAAACAGGAUUAGAUACCCUGGUA
This 453-nucleotide ribosomal RNA is filed under the name uncultured Prevotellaceae bacterium. RNAcentral describes it as "bacterial SSU rRNA". It matches the Rfam family "Bacterial small subunit ribosomal RNA", at positions 341 to 792 of the family's 1533-position model. The record is from RNAcentral. Lineage: Bacteria; Pseudomonadati; Bacteroidota; Bacteroidia; Bacteroidales; Prevotellaceae.